GAGGGCACAACUAUGGAGACAUAGCUAAUUCCUCAUACGUCCCGAUAAAUGAAAAUAAUCGGGAGAAAGAUUUAUCGCUCAAGGAGGGGGGUGCGGCCUAUCAGGUAGUUGGUGAGGUAAUGGCUCACCAAGCCUAUGACGGGUAGCCGGUCUGAGAGGAUGUCCGGCCGCAAUGGAACUGAGAACGGUCCAUACUCCUACGGGAGGCAGCAGUGGGGAAUAUUGGACAAUGGGCGAAAGCCUGAUCCAGCGAUUCUGCGUGAAGGAUGAAGCCUCGUGGGGUGUAAACUUCUUUUCUGGGAGAAGACGAAUGACGGUAUCUCAGGAAUAAGAGACGGCUAACUACGUG
RNAcentral lists this ribosomal RNA (349 nucleotides) under uncultured bacterium. RNAcentral's name for it is "bacterial SSU rRNA". It matches the Rfam family "Bacterial small subunit ribosomal RNA", at positions 138 to 507 of the family's 1533-position model. The record is from RNAcentral.